Molecule: ribosomal RNA, 870 nt
Filed under: uncultured bacterium
Lineage: Bacteria
Description: bacterial SSU rRNA
Rfam family: Bacterial small subunit ribosomal RNA
Source: RNAcentral
AAGUCGAACGCGAAAGGGAGCAAUCCCCGGUAGCGUGGCAGACGGGUGAGUAACACGUGGGUAACCUACCCGGAGGUGGGGGAUAACCCUUCGAAAGGAGGGCUAAUACCGCAUGAUACCGCGGGGACCUCGGUCCUCGCGAUCAAAGCUGGCCUCUGUUUACAAGCUAGCGCCACCGGAUGGGCCCGCGCCCCAUUAGCUAGUUGGUGAGGUAACGGCUCACCAAGGCGACGAUGGGUAGCCGGCCUGAGAGGGCGAUCGGCCACACUGGAACUGCGACACGGUCCAGACUCCUACGGGAGGCAGCAGUGAGGAAUAUUGCGCAAUGGGCGAAAGCCUGACGCAGCGACGCCGCGUGGAGGAUGAAGGUCUUCGGAUUGUAAACUCCUGUCGAGUGGGACGAAUGCCGUAAGGGUUAACAGCCCUUGCGGUUGACGGUACCGCUGGAGGAAGCCCCGGCUAACUCCGUGCCAGCAGCCGCGGUAAUACGGAGGGGGCUAGCGUUGUUCGGAAUCAUUGGGCGUAAAGGGCGCGUAGGCGGCCGAUCAAGUCGGAGGUGAAAUCCCUCGGCUCAACUGAGGAAUUGCCUUCGAUACUGUUCGGCUUGAGUCCUGGAGAGGGUAGCGGAAUUCCCGGUGUAGCGGUGAAAUGCGUAGAGACCGGGAAGAACACCAGUGGCGAAGGCGGCUACCUGGACAGGUACUGACGCUGAAGCGCGAAAGCUAGGGGAGCAAACAGGAUUAGAUACCCUGGUAGUCCUAGCUGUAAACGAUGGGCACUUGGUGUUGCGGGUAUCGACCCCUGCAGUGCCGAAGCUAACGCAUUAAGUGCCCCGCCUGGGGAGUACGGUCGCAAGGCUGAAACUCAAAG